RNAcentral lists this ribosomal RNA (2146 nucleotides) under pig gut metagenome. RNAcentral describes it as "bacterial LSU rRNA". It matches the Rfam family "Bacterial large subunit ribosomal RNA", at positions 411 to 2555 of the family's 2925-position model. The record is from RNAcentral.
AGUAGGGCGGGACACGUGGUAUCCUGUCUGAAUAUGGGGGGACCAUCCUCCAAGGCUAAAUACUACCUAACGACCGAUAGUGAACCAGUACCGUGAGGGAAAGGCGAAAAGAACCCCUGUAAGGGGAGUGAAAUAGAAUCUGAAACCGUGUGCAUACAAGCAGUGGGAGCUCGAAAGAGUGACUGCGUACCUUUUGUAUAAUGGGUCAGCGAGUUAUCUGUAUUAGCAAGGUUAACUUCAAUGAGGGAGCCGUAGGGAAACCGAGUCUUAAAAGGGCGAGAAGUUGAUGCAGGUAGACCCGAAACCGAGUGAUCUAGUCCUGGACAGGCUGAAAGCAGGGUAACACCUGCCGGAGGGCCGAACCUACUGUCGUUGCAAAGCCAGAGGAUGAUCUGGGACUAGGGGUGAAAGGCCAAUCAAACCCGGUGAUAGCUGGUUCUCCCCGAAAGCUAUUUAGGUAGCGUCCUGCAGGGGCGUAUGGGGGUAGAGCACUGUUAUAGGAAGGGGUUCAUUGCGAACUACCGACCUAUUGCAAACUACGAAUACCAUACAGUUGUAAGCAGGGGACACACAGUGGGUGCUAACGUUCAUUGUGAAGAGGGAAACAACCCGGACCGCCAGCUAAGGUCCCAAAGUUCUGAUUAAGUGGGAAACGAUGUGGGAAGGCAUAGACAGCCAGGAUGUUGGCUUAGAAGCAGCCAUCAUUAAAAGAAAGCGUAAUAGCUCACUGGUCGAGUCGGCCUGCGCGGAAGAUGUAACGGGGCUCAAAUCAGACACCGAAGCUGCGGAUUUGUAAGUAAUUACAAGUGGUAGGGGAGCGUUGUGUAAGCCUGUGAAGGUGAACUGGGAAGUUCACUGGAGGUAUCACAAGUGCGAAUGCUGACGCAAGUAACGAUAAAACGAGUUAAAUGCUCGUUCGCCGGAAGACCAAGGUUUCCUGUCCAACGUUAAACGGGGCAGGGUUAGUCGGAGCCUAAGGCGAGGAUGAAAAUCGUAGUCGAAGGGAAACGGGUUAAUAUUCCCGUACCUAGAUAUGUUGCGAUGUGGUGACGGAGAAGGGAGUGUUAGCCUACAGAUGGUGAUAGGUGAAAGGCGGUAGGUAGUACGAUGGGUUAAAAGACGUUGUGCAGUAAUCCGAGAGCCGAGACGAAGUACUUACGGGUAUGAAGUAACAUGAACCAUGCUUCCAGGAAAAGCCACUAAGCUUCAGACAUAUUUAGUCCGUACCCCAAACCGACACAGGUGGUCGGGUAGAGAAUACCAAGGCGCUUGGGAGAACUCGGGUGAAGGAACUAGGCAAAAUUGUACCGUAACUUCGGGAGAAGGUACGCUGUGAGAGGUGAAGAGCUUGCGCUUGGAGCCUAACACAGCCGCAGAUAAAUGGUGGCUGGGACUGUUUAACAAAAACACAGCACUCUGCAAACCUGAAAGGGGAAGUAUAGGGUGUGACACCUGCCCGGUGCCGGAAGGUUAAAUGAUGAGGUUAGAGCAAUCGAAGCCUCUGAGUGAAGCCCCGGUAAACGGCGGCCGUAACUAUAACGGUCCUAAGGUAGCGAAAUUCCUUGUCGGGCAAGUUCCGACCUGCACGAAUGGUGUAACCAUGGCCACGCUGUCUCCACCCGAGACCCAGUGAAACCGAAAUCGCUGUGAAGAUGCAGUGUACCCGCGGCUAGACGGAAAGACCCCGUGAACCUUUACUGCAGCUUGACACUGAACCUUGAACCUGUUUGUGCAGGAUAGGCGGGAGACUUAGAAGUAGGGACGCUAGUUCCUAUGGAGUCGACCUUGAAAUACCGCCCUGACAUGUUUGAGGUUCUAACUUGAGGCAAUCAAGCCUAAGGACAGUGUCUGGUGGGAAGUUUGACUGGGGCGGUCUCCUCCCAAAGAGUAACGGAGGAGCACGAAGGUCGGCUGAUCACGGUCGGAAACCGUGAGGUCAGUGCAAUGGCAUAAGCCGGCUUGACUGCGAGAGCAACAACUCGAGCAGGUGCGAAAGCAGGUCAUAGUGAUCCGGUGGUUCCAUAUGGACGGGCCAUCGCUCAACGGAUAAAAGGUACUCUGGGGAUAACAGGCUGAUACCGCCCAAGAGUUCAUAUCGACGGCGGUGUUUGGCACCUCGAUGUCGGCUCAUCACAUCCUGGGGCUG